AUUGAACGCUGGCGGCACGCCUUACACAUGCAAGUCGAACGGCAGCGCGGACUUCGGUCUGGCGGCGAGUGGCGAACGGGUGAGUAAUACAUCGGAACGUACCCUGUUGUGGGGGAUAACUAGUCGAAAGAUUAGCUAAUACCGCAUACGACCUGAGGGUGAAAGUGGGGGACCGCGAGGCCUCACGCAGCAGGAGCGGCCGAUGUCUGAUUAGCUAGUUGGUGGGGUAAAGGCCCACCAAGGCGACGAUCAGUAGCUGGUCUGAGAGGACGAUCAGCCACACUGGGACUGAGACACGGCCCAGACUCCUACGGGAGGCAGCAGUGGGGAAUUUUGGACAAUGGGGGCAACCCUGAUCCAGCAAUGCCGCGUGUGUGAAGAAGGCCUCGGGUUGU
Molecule: ribosomal RNA, 395 nt
Filed under: uncultured bacterium
Lineage: Bacteria
Description: bacterial SSU rRNA
Rfam family: Bacterial small subunit ribosomal RNA
Source: RNAcentral